RNAcentral lists this ribosomal RNA (909 nucleotides) under uncultured soil bacterium. RNAcentral's name for it is "bacterial SSU rRNA". It matches the Rfam family "Bacterial small subunit ribosomal RNA", at positions 8 to 916 of the family's 1533-position model. The record is from RNAcentral.
AGAGUUUGAUCCUGGCUCAGAUUGAACGCUGGCGGCAUGCUUUACACAUGCAAGUCGAACGGGGUGAGGGGGCAACUCCUCAUUCAGUGGCGAACGGGUGAGUAAUGCAUCGGAACGUGUCCUGGAGUGGGGGAUAACCCGGCGAAAGCCGGACUAAUACCGCAUACGCUCUGAGGAGGAAAGCGGGGGACCCGAAAGGGCCUCGCGCUGCGGGGGCGGCCGAUGUCCGAUUAGCUUGUUGGUGGGGUAAUGGCCUACCAAGGCGACGAUCGGUAGCUGGUCUGAGAGGAUGAUCAGCCACACUGGGACUGAGACACGGCCCAGACUCCUACGGGAGGCAGCAGUGGGGAAUUUUGGACAAUGGGGGCAACCCUGAUCCAGCCAUGCCGCGUGCGGGAAGAAGGCCUUCGGGUUGUAAACCGCUUUUAGCCGGGAAGAAAAGGCACGGGCCAAUACCCUGUGUUCUUGACGGUACCGGCGGAAUAAGCACCGGCUAACUACGUGCCAGCAGCCGCGGUAAUACGUAGGGUGCGAGCGUUAAUCGGAAUUACUGGGCGUAAAGCGUGCGCAGGCGGUUCGCCGUGUCCGAUGUGAAAGCCCCGGGCUCAACCUGGGAAUGGCAUGGGAAACUGGCGGGCUGGAGUGUGGCAGAGGGGGGUGGAAUUCCGCGUGUAGCAGUGAAAUGCGUAGAGAUGCGGAGGAACACCGAUGGCGAAGGCAGCCCCCUGGGCCAACACUGACGCUCACGCACGAAAGCGUGGGGAGCAAACAGGAUUAGAUACCCUGUAGUCCACGCCCUAAACGAUGUCGACUGGGUGUCGGGGAAGCGAUUCCUUGGUACCGAAGCUAACGCGUGAAGUCGACCGCCUGGGGAGUACGGCCGCAAGGUUAAACUCAAGGAAUUGACGG